GGGACACGUGGUAUCCUGUCUGAAUAUGGGGGGACCAUCCUCCAAGGCUAAAUACUCCUGACUGACCGAUAGUGAACCAGUACCGUGAGGGAAAGGCGAAAAGAACCCCGGCGAGGGGAGUGAAAAAGAACCUGAAACCGUGUACGUACAAGCAGUGGGAGCACAGGUUUACCUGUGUGACUGCGUACCUUUUGUAUAAUGGGUCAGCGACUUAUAUUCUGUAGCAAGGUUAACCGUAUAGGGGAGCCGUAGGGAAACCGAGUCUUAACCGGGCGUUAAGUUGCAGGGUAUAGACCCGAAACCCGGUGAUCUAGCCAUGGGCAGGUUGAAGGUUGGGUAACACUAACUGGAGGACCGAACCGACUAAUGUUGAAAAAUUAGCGGAUGACCUGUGGCUGGGGGUGAAAGGCCAAUCAAACCGGGAGAUAGCUGGUUCUCCCCGAAAGCUAUUUAGGUAGCGCCUCGUGAAUUCAUCUCCGGGGGUAGAGCACUGUUUCGGCUAGGGGGCCAUCCCGGCUUACCAACCCGAUGCAAACUGCGAAUACCGGAGAAUGUUAUCACGGGAGACACACGGCGGGUGCUAACGUCCGUCGUGAAGAGGGAAACAACCCAGACCGCCAGCUAAGGUCCCAAAGUCAUGGUUAAGUGGGAAACGAUGUGGGAAGGCCCAGACAGCCAGGAUGUUGGCUUAGAAGCAGCCAUCAUUUAAAGAAAGCGUAAUAGCUCACUGGUCGAGUCGGCCUGCGCGGAAGAUGUAACGGGGCUAAACCAU
RNAcentral lists this ribosomal RNA (772 nucleotides) under Salmonella enterica subsp. enterica serovar Matopeni. RNAcentral describes it as "partial 23S ribosomal RNA". It matches the Rfam family "Bacterial large subunit ribosomal RNA", at positions 419 to 1190 of the family's 2925-position model. The record is from RNAcentral. Lineage: Bacteria; Pseudomonadati; Pseudomonadota; Gammaproteobacteria; Enterobacterales; Enterobacteriaceae.